Molecule: small nuclear RNA, 142 nt
Filed under: Rozella allomycis CSF55
Lineage: Eukaryota; Fungi; Rozellomycota
Description: U4 spliceosomal RNA
Rfam family: U4 spliceosomal RNA
About the family: U4 small nuclear RNA (U4 snRNA) is a component of the major U2-dependent spliceosome.
Source: Rfam by way of RNAcentral
ACUCUUUUGCAGAGGCAAGACUUUCGGCAGUGACGUUCCAACGGAGCCNAACGGAGCCAAAGUAAUUGCUAGUUGAAAACUAACAUUUCCAACGUGCUGUUUGGAGCAAUCUAAACGGCAAUUUUUGGCGACUCUUCUCGAG